Molecule: ribosomal RNA, 445 nt
Filed under: uncultured bacterium
Lineage: Bacteria
Description: partial 16S ribosomal RNA
Rfam family: Bacterial small subunit ribosomal RNA
Source: RNAcentral
GUGAGGAAUAUUGCGCAAUGGAGGCAACUCUGACGCAGCCAUGUCGCGUGCAGGAAGAAGGCGCUACGCGUUGUAAACUGCUUUUAACCGGGAAGAAACCCCAGGACGUGUCCUGGGUUGACGGUACCGGAGGAAUAAGCACCGGCUAACUUCGUGCCAGCAGCCGCGGUAAUACGAAGGGUGCAAGCGUUAUCCGGAUUCAUUGGGUUUAAAGGGUGCGUAGGCGGAGCGUUAAGUCAGUGGUGAAAUCCUGCAGCUUAACUGUAGACUUGCCAUUGGUACUGGCGCUCUUGAGUGCGCUUGAAGUGGGCGGAAUGUGCCGUGUAGCGGUGAAAUGCUUAGAUAUGGCACAGAACACCAAUUGCGAAGGCAGCUCACUAAGGCGAUACUGACGCUGAGGCACGAAAGCGUGGGGAUCGAACAGGAUUAGAUACCCGGGUAGUCC